GCCUCGUGGAGGGUCUCCGGCAUCAGGAAGUGGACGUGGGUGUCCACGGCUCCGGCGGUCAGGAUGCGGCCCUCGCCGGAGACGACGUCGGUGCCGGGGCCGAUCACCAAGUCGGGGUGGAUGCCGUCGCCGGUGUCGGGGUUGCCGGAGCGGCCGAGGGCGACGAUGCGGCCGGCCCUGAUGCCGAUGUCCGUCUUGACGAUGCCCCAGUGGUCCAGGACCACGACGUUGGUGAUGACGAGGUCGAGGGCGCCCUCCGCGCGUGGGGUGGUGGCCUGGCCCAUCGAUUCGCGGAU
This 296-nucleotide small RNA is filed under the name Streptomyces sp. CB02488. Its description in RNAcentral is "5' ureB small RNA". It matches the Rfam family "5' ureB small RNA". The record is from Rfam by way of RNAcentral. Lineage: Bacteria; Bacillati; Actinomycetota; Actinomycetes; Kitasatosporales; Streptomycetaceae.